GACGAACGCUGGCGGCGUGCUUAACACAUGCAAGUCGAACGGAAAGGCCCUGCUUUUGUGGGGUGCUCGAGUGGCGAACGGGUGAGUAACACGUGAGUAACCUGCCCUUGACUUUGGGAUAACUUCAGGAAACUGGGGCUAACACCGGAUAGGAGCUCCUGCUGCAUGGUGGGGGUUGGAAAGUUUCGGCGGUUGGGGAUGGACUCGCGGCUUAUCAGCUUGUUGGUGGGGUAGUGGCUUACCAAGGCUUUGACGGGUAGCCGGCCUGAGAGGGUGACCGGCCACAUUGGGACUGAGAUACGGCCCAGACUCCUACGGGAGGCAGCAGUGGGGAAUAUUGCACAAUGGGCGGAAGCCUGAUGCAGCAACACCGCGUGCGGGAUGACGGCCUUCGGGUUGUAAACCGCUUUCGCCUGUGACGAAGCGUGAGUGACGGUAAUGGGUAAAGAAGCACCGGCUAACUACGUG
Molecule: ribosomal RNA, 468 nt
Filed under: uncultured bacterium
Lineage: Bacteria
Description: partial 16S ribosomal RNA
Rfam family: Bacterial small subunit ribosomal RNA
Source: RNAcentral